CUCAGCCUUGUCUAGGCGCCUGAUCUCAUCUGAUCUUGGAAGCUAACCAGGGUCAAGCCUGGUUAGUACUUGAACCGGAAAUCUCUUCAACCCUGCUGAAAGCCAGGAGGCAGCGA
Molecule: ribosomal RNA, 116 nt
Filed under: Castor canadensis (American beaver)
Lineage: Eukaryota; Metazoa; Chordata; Mammalia; Rodentia; Castoridae
Source: RNAcentral